RNAcentral lists this ribosomal RNA (497 nucleotides) under uncultured bacterium. RNAcentral's name for it is "partial 16S ribosomal RNA". It matches the Rfam family "Bacterial small subunit ribosomal RNA", at positions 28 to 507 of the family's 1533-position model. The record is from RNAcentral.
GAUGAACGCUGGCGGCGUGCCUAAUACAUGCAAGUCGAGCGAACAGACGAGGAGCUUGCUCCUCUGACGUUAGCGGCGGACGGGUGAGUAACACGUGGAUAACCUACCUAUAAGACUGGGAUAACUUCGGGAAACCGGAGCUAAUACCGGAUAAUAUAUUGAACCGCAUGGUUCAAUAGUGAAAGACGGUUUUGCUGUCACUUAUAGAUGGAUCCGCGCCGCAUUAGCUAGUUGGUAAGGUAACGGCUUACCAAGGCGACGAUGCGUAGCCGACCUGAGAGGGUGGUCGGCCACACUGGAACUGGGACACGGGCCAGACUCCUAAGGGAGGCAGCAGGAGGGAAGCUUCCGCAAUGGGGGAAAGCCUGACGGAGCAAAGCCGCGUGGGUGAAGAAGGUCUUCGGAUUGGAAAACUCUGUUAUUAGGGAAGAAAAAAUGUGUAAGGAACUAUGGACGUCUUGACGGUACCUAAUCAGAAAGCCACGGCUAACUACGUG